RNAcentral lists this long non-coding RNA (4847 nucleotides) under Brassica rapa (field mustard). Its description in RNAcentral is "long non-coding RNA (BRAP_LNC007248)". The record is from RNAcentral. Lineage: Eukaryota; Viridiplantae; Streptophyta; Magnoliopsida; Brassicales; Brassicaceae.
UUCAAUCUGGAUAUCGGUUCGGUUUCGGUUCGGUUUUUUCGGUUUUCGGUAUUUCGGUUAGUAAAAUAUAACUACCAUUCUAAAUCCAUAUUUACUUCGGUUCGGUUCGGUUUAUAUACUGUCGGUUUUCGGUUUAUUCGGUUUUAUACCAAAAAACAUAAUUAUUUUGUUUGAGAUCAUAUUAUAUGAAUUUUAGAGUCAUAUUGUCAAUACAGUCAUUUAUUAAAAAUAUAUUACAUGUUCAAAUAAAUGAACAAAAAAGUAAAAAUGCCUCUACCAUCAAAUAAAAUAAUCAAAUCUAUAACUAAAAUCAAAGCUUGAAAUUUUGAAAAUAAAAAUAUGAAACAAAAUAGAAACAUGAAAGAAAAGUUUUUCCACUCUUCCAUAUUUAGUGUUCAUUAAAGUUAUACUUUUUCAAUUGAAAAUUUUCCAUUAAUUAUUGUCUAUCAAAUUUAUAAUCUUCAUAUUAAUUUAGUGAAGACUAAAAUAAAUAAAAAAGAUCAAAAAAGACUUAGAAAAUAAGAUGUAUGAAUUACGAUGUAUUGUUAUUUAGUUAUAGUUCAAACGUUUUACAAAUUAAAGUUUUUUAUUACUAUAAAAUUAUGGUAAUAGUUAUUAACACAAAUUUAACUUAUGUAACAAAUAGAUUUUCAUGUAUUGUUAUAAAAUAGAUACAUAUUUACAUGUUUCUACUUUUAAUCGGUUUUGUUCGGUUUAUUCGGUUUAAUCGGUUAUAUACCAAACCAUAUCCAAAUCCUACGGUUUUUAUAAAAUUAUAUCCAUUCGGUUUAUAUGGUAUAUACCAAAACCAAACCAUAUUGUCUAUUUCGGUUCGGUUCGGUUCGGUUCGGUUUUACCAUAUUGAAAUGUGUGUUUUUUUUAAAACAGGGAUUUGUUGUUGUUAAGCAAAAUACAUAUCAUGGAUAUAUAUUUUUAGAGUGUUUUUUUUCUGUAACUGAUUUUUAGGGUGUUUUUGUUCUUUCUAUAAACACACUAUUGGAAAGUAUGUAGUAUAAACUCAAAAUUAAUUUUUAUUAAACUAACUAAUUUUUUUGAAAGCAUUAAAGUUACGAGUUCGAAAUCCUAGAAGAAGAAGUAAUUGGAUCCCGUAAGUUAGUUUUCACACUAGUGAGAAUCCGGUCCAUUUUGACUUUACACCAUUUGUGUCGACAUUAAAAAAAUAAUUAAUUCAGAUUUUUAACAUUAACUAUAAGUAUAACUAAUUUACAAAAAAAACUAUUUAUAGCCAUGAAAAAUUGGUGAAAUCCAAUGUAAUGGGGCAAUUGUUAGCCAUUUUCAUGCUUCUUUUUUUCUUUGUUAUUCGUUUUAGACAAAAAAAUUGCCUGCCUAGAGAUUUUUGUAAAUCGAAUGUGACAUAGCAUUUGUUUUCCGUUUCUAAGAAAUGACUGUCAGAUAAAUCUACUUGGUGCUAACUUAUGUACAACUUUUUUUCUUCCGAAUGAAAACUUUGAAAGUAAUAUGUUACAUUAUAGUAGCUAUAUAUUAUUUAUUUAUAUACCUGUUUAAUAUUGUAUCCCAGCCUUCCCUGUCUAUUGUGUAAGUUAUACAUUACAACUUAUGUUUUGCAAGGGUAGUUUAAUACACAACUUGGAACAUAUAAAUAAUAAAUAGAUUGAAUUUAGACAGGGAAGUUAAAAUAAUAUUUGAUUCUGCUAAGAGUAAUUUAUAAGGCUACGUUCGCUGUAUUUUAAAUGAAAAUAUGUGACCAUUGGUAUAAAAGUUUCCUCUAAUUAUGCGAUGCUUUGUAAAAGUGUAAAGAGGCUUCCAAUACAAUGAUUAAUCGUAAAUGAUAUUCACUGGUCAAGCUUUCUUUCCCCCCCAUUUGAUCCUUUUUAAAAGGAUUUCAGCCACUUACUUUUCCCGUUGUGGGUCAAUCCAUUAGACGUAAGAUCUCGAUCAAUGUCAAAUGCAUGUAUAUAAUAUAUUCAAACUAAAGAAAUGUUUACUGCUUUGUUGUUGCUGUUUUUUUUUUCUGACAUCAAAAGUAAAAGAACACUUAUGAAACUAGUUAGCAGCCUCUUGGCUAGCGUAAAGAGCUAGCCAACUUGGUGCAAACAGUUGACAAAUGGGGACCCAAAAACUCGUGAUCUUCCUCCUUUAGCAAGGGAGUCCGUGUUCAUCGAUUUUGGAAUAUAUGCUACAGAGACCUCAGUAAAAACAGCAGAAAAGACUUUAAUCUCAUAUACUACUUUGUUGUUUUUAAGUUUAUAACUUUGGUUUUUCUUUCUAUUUUAUGUAAUUUCUUAUAUGUUAAAAAGAAGCAUUUGGAAUAAAUGUGUUCAUACACAUUGACACGUGUCAAUCCUACAAUCUUUUCAACUUGAGAAUGCUUAGGUGUCAGCCUUACAAACUCUUAGCAAUUAUUAUAUUCACACAUUAAUUUUCUUAACUCUAUCGCAGAAGAUUUAACGUGUUCACACACUAAAUAUUUUAUUCAACUCAUUUUUAGUUUUCAUACUUUUAACCUUUGUAUUAGUGAAUUGAAGUGCUCUCCAGACAAGUAUUGAAUAAUAUCAUUAUUAAAAGAAAUAAAUUACAAAAUCAUUAAGAUACAUCAACUAAAAUACCGGAAUGAGACUGUUUUUAGAAAUUGAUUGUUUUGUAUCUUGUCGAACUUGGCCAUGGUUGAUGUUUUAUGCAUAUGAAAGCAAAAAAUAAUUAUGAUUAGUUAUGAAUUAAAGAAACUGAAGUAAAAAAUGCCACACACAAAGUUGGAUCUUUAGUUUAGCUAAGUAUUGCUUUUCCUUACAGAGUUUUCAUAUCAAAUCAAGAAUUAGAAACACAAUCAGAUUGUUAGAAUCAGAAAUCAUAAAAGCUUUAAAAAAACUCGUGAAAUCGAUUGAAAAACAGAAUUCAUGUACCGAGUGAAGAGAUGACAUUAUAAUAAAGCAACUUUAACCCAUUUCACUCGAUUGUAUCAUGUUUUUCAUAUUUACCAUAAACUUUUAUAAGAGAGUAUACAUUAUUGGUUAUAAACUACGUCAAAUUUUACAUGUCGAAAUGUAUUGACACGACACCCAACCAUUUUUAUUGGUAUUCUUAAAGUGUGUUCCAAUAAUUAUGUAUGCAAAAUAAUCUUAACAUGUUUGUUUUACAUUUAUUUAUUUUUCUUUACAUUUGUAGAAGAAAUUAAGUUUGGGCAAAAUAUUUGGAUCUGAAGAAACGACCGAAUUUGAUUUGAAAGUAAUACUAAACACAAACUAAAAUUGAUUAAGUAUUUAAAUGGAUCUAAAAGUUUAAAAUCCGGAUAACAAGACCCGGAUCCGAUCCAAACUGAAAUAUUUGGAUACCAAAAAUAUCUAAAACACAAUUAUUUACUUAAAUAUAUUAGAUAUUUAAAAAUUUAUAUCUAUUAGAUAUUCAUUAAUAUAAAAAUAUCUAAAAUAACAAAAUAUGUUCAAAAUACCGAAAUAUAUAUAUUUUUAUCCAUCUAAAUAUUUAAAUUGAACUAGUUUUAUGUAAAUUUUAUAUUGUUUUUAUUUUCGGAUUUUAAGGAUUAAGUAUAUUUGGAUUUUUGUUAGAAAAUUACAUAACUAAAAUAGGUACGUGAACUCAAACCCGAACCAAACCAAACCUAGAAUGAUUCAAACCAAAUCCAAUCCAAAUUCAAACUGAAAUUUGUAAAUAUCCAAUCAUAUUUAAAUUUCUAACUCUAAAAAUCAAAAUCCGAAUAGGUCAACUGAAUCCGAACGAAUAUCUGAAUACCCAUGCCUUGAAAAAGUUAUACGACAAAUCUCUUAUUACAUCGUAAAAUAAAUAAUCUAAUCAGUUAUUUUACUCCGCGCACAGCGUGAAUUAUUACCUAGUUCUAAUAUUACUAUUCAACGUGCAAUAAAUUAUUGAACAAUACCAAACGCUUGUCUAGAAGUGAUUAAAACGCAAACAUGGUAAGAUUGGUAAUACUGUGUAACAUAGAUGCAACCUUCAUAAACAAGCACGAAGAGGAAAACCAGAGAUGCAUCAACCAGAGAGUUGACAAACCAAAUAGUAAAAAAUGGAGCAAACUUCAGUACCAGGCAUAAAGGAAUAUUUGCUUAAGACCAUAUAUAAGUUUGUGAAGGUGAGAAAUUUUAUCAGGUAUAUCACAGAUAACAAAAAGAGGUGGUUGUAUCAUAUAAACGUCUUCUUUUAGAGUCUCCUUUGUAGAAAAGCAUUGUUAGAUUCAAAAACAAAAAGGAAAUGCAUUGUUAACAAUAAGCCGACAAAUAGUCAUAUUGCAAGCCACAUCAACAUUAACAAAAAUGUGAAUGGUAGCAUGUUUAGCAACAUGAUUGGAUGAUUCCUCAAAGUUUACUCUUGGCUGUUGAAGAAAACAUUUGAGUGUUAGUAGAGAUUUGUACUUGUUAAUAGAAUAAUCAGAAAACACUGUGAAUUGCAUCUGUACGCACAUUAGAUCCCAAGUUAUGUUUUGAACAAAAGAAUUGUAUUUCUUUUCUUCAGAAGCACAUUACUUCUCAUCUUUUAGAAUUUGAAGAAGUGUCAUUAGUUCAAAUGUUAUUCAUGGAUCGUGUUGUAAUACCUGAGAUUGAUGACUCAAAAACAUUAAUUGAUGUUAUGGAAGUAGCAAUGUAUGAUACUGACAUUGGUGAAGAUGUUUCAGCUAGAGUAGGUGGUGAAGUUGCCUCUGUCAAGGAAACAAUUGAGAAGCUCUUAACAGAGUUAUGAGUGGUGAGCCAAAUAACGGAACAAGAGAAGCAGAUGGUGUAACGUUUUGUGACAGUCAGAAACACAUAUGAGCUUAAUAUAACUUUAUCUUGUUAGUAAUGAAAGUCGACUGCAUGUGAAAAUGGGAUAUCAAUAAUAAUUUUGGUAAGACUUGCCAUGUC